Molecule: ribosomal RNA, 474 nt
Filed under: uncultured bacterium
Lineage: Bacteria
Description: bacterial SSU rRNA
Rfam family: Bacterial small subunit ribosomal RNA
Source: RNAcentral
CAGGCCUAACACAUGCAAGUCGAGCGAACAGAUAAGGAGCUUGCUCCUUUGACGUUAGCGGCGGACGGGUGAGUAACACGUGGAUAACCUACCUAUAAGACUGGGAUAACUUCGGGAAACCGGAGCUAAUACCGGAUAACAUAUUGAACCGCAUGGUUCAAUAGUGAAAGGCGGCUUUGCUGUCACUUAUAGAUGGAUCCGCGCCGUAUUAGCUAGUUGGUAAGGUAACGGCUUACCAAGGCAACGAUACGUAGCCGACCUGAGAGGAUGAUCAGCCACACUGGGACUGAGACACGGCCCAGACUCCUACGGGAGGCAGCAGUGGGGAAUAUUGGACAAUGGGCGCAAGCCUGAUCCAGCCAUGCCGCGUGAGUGAUGAAGGCCUUAGGGUUGUAAAGCUCUUUUGUCCGGGACGAUAAUGACGGUACCGGAAGAAUAAGCCCCGGCUAACUUCGUGCCAGCAGCCGCGGUAAU